Molecule: long non-coding RNA, 3329 nt
Organism: Oncorhynchus keta (chum salmon)
Lineage: Eukaryota; Metazoa; Chordata; Actinopteri; Salmoniformes; Salmonidae
Exons: 3
Source: RefSeq, a predicted model, not a curated record
UCCACUUCAGCUUGAUCUAAAGGAAGUCAUUUACUUUCAUCAUGCAAGAUCUGCCUUAUUUUUACCUCAGAGAGUUAGCUUGUCAGUUUAGAGAAAGAUGAGAGAGUGAGAGGUGGAACGAAGAGUUUCACCUCCCGGGUCUCUCUUCAGCAGAAUUGCCUUGAUAAUAACAAAUUAAACUUGAACAGCUCCAAUUAGACACAAAUGAGGAGCCCCAUUGCCAUGACGCACUCCCAUCAAAGCGCUGAUCUAAAAGUGACACUUCUAAUUUUCGGCUUCCUCCAUCACUGGCGGAAGCGACAGGCGACCGUCAAGAUUAGCUAAGCCGUACUUGUCGGAAACUUAAAAAGCGAGGUAGUCUGCAAGUCAAACACUGGAGGUCACAAAGCCACAGACAUGCUGUGGCUACAGAACAGCUCACUGUCUGAGCUCUGACACAAGGGGAGAAAAGCAGUCUCAUUUCGCAUCUGACGACUGCCUCCGGCAUACCAUUUGAACCUUUUUAAGUUACAACCGACUAAUAACUUUAUUCACAUUUAAUUUAAUCUCCCAAAAUAGAUUAUAUCCACAUGUACUUCAAUUUGCAUGCACCUGCUUGAGCCUGCGUUCUAUGUAGCCAACACCCAGAGUCAGAUGUUUUCUUCCAGGGUCAUAUCAUCUGCCAGCACCUCAGCCUUAUCCAAGCCUUCCCUACAAAACAAACUCUGCUAGUGAGUCACAGUUCAAUCUUCAAGCGCCGCGAGAAAGAGACGCCACACUGGAUCUGUUCCUUAUCUCCUGCCUUCCCAUCAGGCCUUGCAGUAACCUCUCAGAGGGACAUUUCUGAUCACUAUCGCCCCGGCGAGUGUUCCCACAGGGAGGCUGCCUCUUAUGAGGUCCUGUUCAUGUGAUGCUAUCAGUGGUCUCUGAUCCAACAGUUAUAUGGCCUCCUCCACAUGGCUAAUAGGCUGUAGACUGCAGUGGCUAUCUUAAUGAAGAAAUGUGAAGAUAAUAAAGACAGCCAGGCAUUGAGGACACUUGCAAGUUCCUGAAAUGUGCAAAAUCAACACUGUUCAGCAACUGUAUUUGUUGGCAGGGGAGACUCGGGGCUUGUUUGCAUUGGAAUGCCUCAUCGAGGAAGGCUGCAAACUCUCUUUUGGAAUAUUUCAGAGUAUUUGGAAUAUUUCAGAGUAUUUGGAAUAUUUCAGAGGCCUCCUGCUGGGUUUCCCAAUGCCAAAACAUGUGACACAGAUAAUGUGAGCAGGGGUCAUGCGAUGGGGAGAGUUUGUUGAUGGUCUCGGAGUGCUGGGAACACUGGACCACUGGCCCAAGACUGUAGACUCAGGAAACAGAAACUCUGACCUCGGAUUUCUUCUCAAUAUGCAAUGCCAGGAGCUAGACAAUGAUAUAUGAAACCUUCAAAGUGAGUGAAUGCCAUCCAUUUUAGAAAAAUACAAAACAAUAGGAAUGUGUUUCACUGUAUACAGUGUAUACAGUGUGGAUCUACAGUAGGUAUGGAGACAGGGUGUGGGGUAUUUGCCUUUCUGUAUACAGUGUGGGUCUACAAUAGGUAUGGAGACAGGGUGUGGGGUAUUUGCCUUUCUGUAUACAGUGUGGGUCUACAAUAGGUAUGGAGAAUGCCUUUUUGUAUACAGUGUGGGUCUACAAUAGGUAUGGAGACAGGGUGUGGGGUAUUUGCCUCUGUAUACAGUGUGGGUCUACAAUAGGUAUGGAGACAGGGUGUGGGGUAUUUGUCUCUCUGUAUACAGUGUGGGUCUACAGUAGGUAUGGAGACAGGGUGUGGGGUAUUUGUCUCUCUGUAUACAGUGUGGGUCUACAGUAGGUAUGGAGACAGGGUGUGGGGUAUUUGUCUCUCUGUAUACAGUGUGGGUCUACAAUAGGUAUGGAGACAGGGUGUGGGGUAUUUGUCUCUCUGUAUACAGUGUGGGUCUACAAUAGGUAUGGAGACAGGGUGUGGGGUAUUUGCCUCUCUGUAUACAGUGUGGGUCUACGGUAGGUAUGGAGACAGGGUGUGGGGUAUUUGUCUCUCUGUAAACAGUGUGGGUCUACGGUAGGUAUGGAGACAGGGUGUGGGGUAUUUGUCUCUCUGUAUACAGUGUGGGUCUACAGUAGGUAUGGAGACAGGGUGUGGGGUAUUUGCCUCUCUGUAUACAGUGUGGGUCUACAAUAGGUAUGGAGACAGGGUGUGGGGUAUUUGUCUCUCUGUAUACAGUGUGGGUCUACAAUAGGUAUGGAGACAGGGUGUGGGGUAUUUGUCUCUCUGUAAACAGUGUGGGUCUACGGUAGGUAUGGAGACAGGGUGUGGGGUAUUUGUCUCUCUGUAUACAGUGUGGGUCUACAGUAGGUAUGGAGACAGGGUGUGGGGUAUUUGCCUCUCUGUAUACAGUGUGGGUCUACAAUAGGUAUGGAGACAGGGUGUGGGGUAUUUGCCUCUGUAUACAGUGUGGGUCUACGGUAGGUAUGGAGACAGGGUGUGGGGUAUUUGUCUCUCUGUAAACAGUGUGGGUCUACGGUAGGUAUGGAGACAGGGUGUGGGGUAUUUGUCUCUCUGUAUACAGUGUGGGUCUACAGUAGGUAUGGAGACAGGGUGUGGGGUAUUUGCCUCUCUGUAUACAGUGUGGGUCUACAAUAGGUAUGGAGACAGGGUGUGGGGUAUUUGUCUCUCUGUAUACAGUGUGGGUCUACAAUAGGUAUGGAGACAGGGUGUGGGGUAUUUGUCUCUCUGUAUACAGUGUGGGUCUACAAUAGGUAUGGAGACAGGGUGUGGGGUAUUUGCCUCUGUAUACAGUGUGGGUCUACAAUAGGUAUGGAGACAGGGUGUGGGGUAUUUGCCUCUGUAUACAGUGUGGGUCUACAAUAGGUAUGGAGACAGGGUGUGGGGUAUUUGCCUCUGUAUACAGUGUGGGUCUACAAUAGGUAUGGAGACAGGGUGUGGGGUAUUUGCCUCUGUAUACAGUGUGGGUCUACAAUAGGUAUGGAGACAGGGUGUGGGGUAUUUGCCUCUGUAUACAGUGUGGGUCUACAAUAGGUAUGGAGACAGGGUGUGGGGUAUUUGCCUCUGUAUACAGUGUGGGUCUACAAUAGGUAUGGAGACAGGGUGUGGGGUAUUUGCCUCUAUACAGUGUGGGUCUACGGUAGGUAUGGAGACAGGGUGUGGGGUAUUUGCCUCUGUAUACAGUGUGGGUCUACGGUAGGUAUGGAGACAGGGUGUGGGGUAUUUGUCUCUCUGUAUACAGUGUGGGUCUACAGUAGGUAUGGAGACAGGGUGUGGGGUAUUUGCCUCUGUAUACAGUGUGGGUCUACAAUAGGUAUGGAGACAGGGUGUGGGG